CUACUCUUGACAUCCAGAGAACUUUCCAGAGAUGGAUUGGUGCCUUCGGGAACUCUGAGACAGGUGCUGCAUGGCUGUCGUCAGCUCGUGUUGUGAAAUGUUGGGUUAAGUCCCGCAACGAGCGCAACCCUUAUCCUUUGUUGCCAGCGGUUCGGCCGGGAACUCAAAGGAGACUGCCAGUGAUAAACUGGAGGAAGGUGGGGAUGACGUCAAGUCAUCAUGGCCCUUACGAGUAGGGCUACACACGUGCUACAAUGGCAUAUACAAAGAGAAGCGACCUCGCGAGAGCAAGCGGACCUCAUAAAGUAUGUCGUAGUCCGGAUUGGAGUCUGCAACUCGACUCCAUGAAGUCGGAAUCGCUAGUAAUCGUAGAUCAGAAUGCUACGGUGAAUACGUUCCC
This 400-nucleotide ribosomal RNA is filed under the name uncultured Enterobacter sp. RNAcentral's name for it is "bacterial SSU rRNA". It matches the Rfam family "Bacterial small subunit ribosomal RNA", at positions 975 to 1375 of the family's 1533-position model. The record is from RNAcentral. Lineage: Bacteria; Pseudomonadati; Pseudomonadota; Gammaproteobacteria; Enterobacterales; Enterobacteriaceae.